UACGUAGGGGGCUAGCGUUGUCCGGAUUUACUGGGCGUAAAGAGCGCGCAGGCGGUCGUUCAAGUCGAGUGUGAAAGCCCCCGGCUCAACUGGGGAGGGUCAUUCGAUACUGAUCGACUCGAAGGCAGGAGAGGGAAGUGGAAUUCCCGGUGUAGUGGUGAAAUGCGUAGAUAUCGGGAGGAACACCAGUGGCGAAGGCGACUUCCUGGCCUGUUCUUGACGCUGAGGCGCGAAAGCUAGGGGAGCAAACGGG
This 253-nucleotide ribosomal RNA is filed under the name uncultured bacterium. RNAcentral describes it as "partial 16S ribosomal RNA". It matches the Rfam family "Bacterial small subunit ribosomal RNA", at positions 524 to 776 of the family's 1533-position model. The record is from RNAcentral.